RNAcentral lists this ribosomal RNA (468 nucleotides) under uncultured bacterium. Its description in RNAcentral is "bacterial SSU rRNA". It matches the Rfam family "Bacterial small subunit ribosomal RNA", at positions 28 to 507 of the family's 1533-position model. The record is from RNAcentral.
GACGAACGCUGGCGGCGCGCCUAACACAUGCAAGUCGAACGAGCAAAGAGGAGCUUGCUUCUCUGAGCGAGUGGCGAACGGGUGAGUAACGCGUGAGGAACCUGCCUCAAAGAGGGGGACAACAGUUGGAAACGACUGCUAAUACCGCAUAAGCCCACGGGUCGGCAUCGACCAGAGGGAAAAGGAGCAAUCCGCUGAAAGAUGGCCUCGCGUCUGAUUAGCUGGUUGGUGAGGUAACGGCCCACCAAGGCGACGAUCAGUAGCCGGACUGAGAGGUUGACCGGCCACAUUGGGACUGAGAUACGGCCCAGACUCCUACGGGAGGCAGCAGUGGGGAAUAUUGGGCAAUGGGCGCAAGCCUGACCCAGCAACGCCGCGUGAAGGAAGAAGGCUUUCGGGUUGUAAACUUCUUUUAAGAGGGAAGAGCAGAAGACUGUACCUCUAGAAUAAGCCACGGCUAACUACGUG